CGGAGCGUAGCGCAGCCUGGUAGCGCAUCUGCUUUGGGAGCAGAGGGUCGUGAGUUCGAAUCCCACCGCUCCGACCA
This 77-nucleotide transfer RNA is filed under the name Comamonas sp. RNAcentral's name for it is "tRNA-Pro". It matches the Rfam family "tRNA". From Rfam's summary of the family: Transfer RNA (tRNA) molecules are approximately 80 nucleotides in length. The record is from RNAcentral. RNAcentral also lists the same sequence under 12 other names. Lineage: Bacteria; Pseudomonadati; Pseudomonadota; Betaproteobacteria; Burkholderiales; Comamonadaceae.